GAUGAAGAACGUAGCGAAAUGCGAUAAAUAGUGUGAAUUGCAGAAUUCAGUGAAUCAUCGAAUCUUUGAACGCACAUUGCGCCCCUUGGUAUUCCAUGGGGCAUGCCUGUUCGAGCGUCAUUUGUACCCUCAAGCUUUGCUUGGUGUUGGGCGUCUUGUCGUAUUACGACUCGCCUUAAAUACAUUGGCAGCCGGCACUUUGGCCUAGGAGCGCAGCACAUUUUGCGAUCGUAGCCCGUUGUACUGGCGUCCAUCAAGAACAUUUACCACGUUUGACCUCGGAUCAGGUAGGGAUACCCGCUGAACUUAAGCAUAUCAAUAAGCGGAGGA
RNAcentral lists this unclassified non-coding RNA (330 nucleotides) under soil metagenome. RNAcentral describes it as "partial contains 5.8S ribosomal RNA, internal transcribed spacer 2, and large subunit ribosomal RNA". The stretch from base 1 to 120 matches the Rfam family "5.8S ribosomal RNA", at positions 35 to 154 of the family's 154-position model. The record is from RNAcentral.